Molecule: transfer RNA, 61 nt
Filed under: Metacrangonyx dominicanus
Lineage: Eukaryota; Metazoa; Arthropoda; Malacostraca; Amphipoda; Metacrangonyctidae
Description: transfer RNA Alanine
Source: RNAcentral
AGAUUUUGAGUUGGUAACAAUUUAUAAUUUGCAAUUAUAAGAAAUAUUUAUAUAAAAUCUU